Paramuricea clavata is the source of this 1167-nucleotide non-coding RNA. The record is from the annotation of a GenBank genome assembly. NCBI's taxonomy places the organism in Eukaryota, Metazoa, Cnidaria, Anthozoa, Malacalcyonacea, Plexauridae.
CUCCCAUUUCAAUAGAUAGCGGCAAUGUGGAGUUUCCCACUCGCUAAUAAACGCUAAAAAAACAAUAACUUUCAGCAUUUGAAUAGUUUGAAAAUGUAUUUGGAAUAGGUUUAACUUAAUGUUUAAGUUCCCUGUUUAAGAAAUAGAAAACAUACGAGUCUUCUCAUUUCAUGGGAAUAUCCUGAGUCUGCAAUCACAGCUUCAAUUUUUGAACUGUAGAAAAAUUAGAUGCACUAUCCAGUGUAUAUAAGAUAUCUAUGAAGUCGACUGGUUUAAUAGUCUAUUCAUGCAUUGGUUCCUUUUAUAGUCGCACUAGGUAUUUAACCCCACUGGAAAUAGUACAAGCAACAUUCAACUCAAAUCAACGAAAGGCUAUCUGCUAUAAUUUUCAAAAUUUCUAUUAAAUUAUAUUUUACUAUAUUAUAUCAAUCAUCAGUAUUAAAGCUAUAUUUCAUAUGUUAAAAUCCAUUCAGCAAUAGCUAGAUUUACAGUGUCUAAAACUAAUAAUGUAUGUCAAUGAAAACGGCCUAUAAAUCAUCAUUAAUUAAGGGACCGGUCAUUAUUUAUGGUGGGGGGUGGCACCGAAGAGAAAUGUUUUUCGUGCCAAAAAUUUUGCUGACCCAACCAUUAAAAAAUAAAAAAUUUGAUUACCCAACCUCAAGUAUCAUUUAAAAAAUAAAUACACACUCCUGGCCAAAAACGUUACAAAAGGAUACCAUUCAGUUGUCACACAUGUCCUAGUUACCACUUCUGUGAUACGAGUUUGAUAACGUUCGGCUAGUGAAAUUUACUGACUUUUCUGCAGUCCAAAGUUUCAUGUUGUCUGUACAUUUACUUUGUUUGGAGACACCAUUUGUCUCCCAACAAAACGGAAAAUGAUAAAGAUAGUGACUCUGAUUGAUUCACAUAUUGUAUUGAAAUAUGACUGUUGACAUUGAAGUUCUCAGUCUUCAAUAUUUGAGUGAGUCAUGCUUUGGAAAUGACAAUAAAUUUUUAUUACCCAACCUUUCAGUUGUUUCGUUUUUCAUUUACCCAACCUUUUACUCACUCAAAAUUUUGUUUACCCAACCCUUUUCUCUUCGGUGCCACCCCCCGCCAUAAAUAAUGACCGGUCCCUUAUGACGUCAUACUGUGUAUCUAAGACUGAAUGUUGACAAUGGCAAAAUC